Molecule: ribosomal RNA, 482 nt
Filed under: uncultured bacterium
Lineage: Bacteria
Description: partial 16S ribosomal RNA
Rfam family: Bacterial small subunit ribosomal RNA
Source: RNAcentral
AUUGAACGCUGGCGGCAUGCUUUACACAUGCAAGUCGAACGGUAACAGACCGCAAGGUGCUGACGAGUGGCGAACGGGUGAGUAAUGCAUCGGAACGUGCCCAGUCGUGGGGGAUAACUACUCGAAAGAGUAGCUAAUACCGCAUACGAUCUAUGGAUGAAAGCGGGGGACCGUAAGGCCUCGCGCGAUUGGAGCGGCCGAUGUCAGAUUAGGUAGUUGGUGGGGUAAAGGCUCACCAAGCCAACGAUCUGUAGCUGGUCUGAGAGGACGACCAGCCACACUGGGACUGAGACACGGCCCAGACUCCUACGGGAGGCAGCAGUGGGGAAUUUUGGACAAUGGGCGCAAGCCUGAUCCAGCAAUGCCGCGUGCAGGAAGAAGGCCUUCGGGUUGUAAACUGCUUUUGUACGGAACGAAACGGCUCUGGUUAAUACCCGGGGCUAAUGACGGUACCGUAAGAAUAAGCACCGGCUAACUACGUG